AUCAGGUCUCGGGCCAUUUCCCAGCCAUCUGUCUCGGACAUCAUCAAAUCUUCUUAAAGGAAGUGUAUACAAAAGUGUUCUCAAAGUGAGCUCUCAACAGAGAAGGAAUUAAUGGAAAUAAGAAAUAAUUCCUUUAAUAUCCGGCUCAGUCUGUAAAGGAUUACACUUUGAAAAGCAACUGGAGGUUUCAUAUUGCCCAUAUUACAUUUCUUUGUUUCUUUACAGAAUGUUCAAUGGAACUAUGACAUCUGGCCACCCUAACAACACGCUCUCUUCUGGCAGUUUGUGGAACUAUGAUGUCAUCGUCUUUGGUGACGUCAUUACACACACACCCCUCUCUCCCCUGAGGCAGCCAAUCAGUGUGAGGCGGCAUCCUUUGGAGGUGGAAGAGCUGGGUUUAGUUUGAAGACAAUUUUAUUGACUCUCCUAUGAAAAUCAUUAGGACUAGUGUUGAAGUGGUUCUUUGAAAUUAAAUCAACAAAAAUAUUUCGUGAAAUUCACUAGUGACUCCUUUACGUGAGA
Molecule: long non-coding RNA, 522 nt
Organism: Limulus polyphemus (Atlantic horseshoe crab)
Lineage: Eukaryota; Metazoa; Arthropoda; Merostomata; Xiphosura; Limulidae
Exons: 4
Source: RefSeq, a predicted model, not a curated record